AUUCAGCUAACGAGUCCUAGAUAGGACGAAAUGCGCGUCCUGGAU
This 45-nucleotide non-coding RNA is filed under the name Schistosoma margrebowiei. The record is from RNAcentral. Lineage: Eukaryota; Metazoa; Platyhelminthes; Trematoda; Strigeidida; Schistosomatidae.